Molecule: ribosomal RNA, 872 nt
Filed under: uncultured candidate division GN03 bacterium
Lineage: Bacteria
Description: bacterial SSU rRNA
Rfam family: Bacterial small subunit ribosomal RNA
Source: RNAcentral
UCUGAAGGUACCUCCAAAGGAAGCUCCGGCUAACUCCGUGCCAGCAGCCGCGGUAAUACGGAGGGAGCAAACGUUGUUCGGAUUUACUGGGUGUAAAGGGUGCGUAGGCGGCUACGUGUGUCAGAGGUGAAAGCUCACGGCUCAACCGUGGAACUGCCCUUGAAACUGCGUAGUUGAGUCCGAGAGAGGAUGGUGGGAUUCCUGGUGUAACGGUGAAAUGUGCAGAUAUCAGGAAGAACACCGGUGGCGAAGGCGGCCAUCUGGCUCGGUACUGACGCUGAGGCACGAAAGCUAGGGUAUCGAACGGGAUUAGAUACCCCGGUAGUCCUAGCCGUAAACGAUGUCCACUAGGUGUCGGAGGUCCUACCCCUUCGGUGCCGGAGCUAACGCAUUAAGUGGACCACCUGGGGAGUACGCUCGCAAGGGUGAAACUCAAAGGAAUUGACGGGGGCCCGCACAAGCGGUGGAGCAUGUGGUUUAAUUCGAUGCAACGCGAAGAACCUUACCUGGGCUUGACAUGCAGGGGACAGGUGUAGAGAUAUACCCUUCUUCGGACUCCUGUACAGGUGCUGCAUGGCUGUCGUCAGCUCGUGUCGUGAAAUGUUGGGUUAAGUCCCGCAACGAGCGCAACCCUUGUCCUUAGUUGCCAGCACGUCAUGGUGGGAACUCUAGGGAGACUGCCGGUGACAAACCGGAGGAAGGUGGGGACGACGUCAAGUCAUCAUGGCCCUUACGUCCAGGGCUACACACGUGCUACAAUGGCACAUACAGAGGGCAGCGAACCCGCGAGGGGAAGCCAAUCCCAAAAAGUGUGCCUCAGUUCGGAUCGCAGUCUGCAACUCGACUGCGUGAAGUCGGAAUCGCUAGUAAUC